This 597-nucleotide long non-coding RNA is filed under the name Dromaius novaehollandiae (emu). Its description in RNAcentral is "lncRNA (ENSDNVG00000013176.1)". Lineage: Eukaryota; Metazoa; Chordata; Aves; Casuariiformes; Dromaiidae. The record is from RNAcentral.
AUGAUCCAAGUCAAAAACAAAUUUAGACUGAAAUUGGGUAUUGUGCAAACCCAGAGAUCUGGUUCCAAUGUGUUCUUUUGUGACAUGAUCUCUGAACUUUACACUCUUCACCCUAGUGACCUGACUUCUCACAAACACUUAAGCUGAUAUGUGAGAAAGUCUCCUGGUCUUUAGGUGUCACAUAUCUAGUUCCCCAAGAAAGGAUUUGUGCCAGAAGGAGAAUCUACCACUUGUGGUCUCAUCUGUAACAUGUAGGGACCCAGAGGUGAUUAAAAGUUGUCAUGCUGCUGGGGUGAUGCUGUACAAUUUUAUAAGGUCUAGGGUGUGUGUGUGAGGGGGGAAAUAGGUCAGGGAAGAUUCUAAUUUAAAUUUUCAGAAUAUUGAAGGAUGAAAACUUUUUCCACCGAUUGCACUCAAAUGCAUGCCUACUUUACAUCUGACUGCAAAUGAAAAAAUACUGGUUUACUCUUUUUAUUAAAGGAAAAAGACUGUCUUAAUUAUUUAUAGUUCCUAUAACUGAAUUGACAGAUGUCAACUUAACUGAUAAAUUAUAUUUGGUUAAAUAAAGAUGACAUUUAUUUAUGUGGAUUGUGGUGU